AUGACCAUAUCACAUUGAAACAUCAGUUUGCAUAUAAUCGCCAAAGUUAAACAACAUUGAGCUUAGUCAGUACCUAGAUGGGUAACCGCUUGGGAAUACCAGGUGCUGUAAG
Acanthosepion pharaonis is the source of this 112-nucleotide non-coding RNA. The record is from the annotation of a GenBank genome assembly. NCBI's taxonomy places the organism in Eukaryota, Metazoa, Mollusca, Cephalopoda, Sepiida, Sepiidae.